RNAcentral lists this long non-coding RNA (1808 nucleotides) under Homo sapiens (human). RNAcentral describes it as "HSALNT0325969". Lineage: Eukaryota; Metazoa; Chordata; Mammalia; Primates; Hominidae. The record is from RNAcentral.
UCAAGUGAUCCUCCAGCCUCAGCCUUCCAAUGUGAUGGGAUUAUAGGUAUGAGCCACUGCACCCUGCCAGGAAAGUUGUUGAAAAAGACUAGCAUGUUGGUGUGUGUUGGCAGCUCCUCAGAUCUUUCAGUAUGGGAUAUAAAGGGGUUGUAAUUGAUUGGUUGGAAAUAAUCAGUGUGCAAACAACAAUGGAAAUGGAAGAGAAUACAUCUUGGUAAUAAAAUCUCUGUCUGUCCAUGGCCUAUAAUAUAAAUUGCAUAAAUUUCUAGUAAUUUGAUAUCUUGCAAUGUUGUAAAAAUCAACUACUUUUAUACUCCAAAUAAUAGGGAAACAAUGAUCAUCUAGAGCCCUUGUCAAGGGUCUCCUAUUGAGAGUCCUUAGACAGUGUGACACAUCUCUAUGGCAAAGAUCAGAUAUAAUAUGUUACAUUUACACAAGUAACAGACUUCUGGCUCUCCUCCAACUCAGGUAUACUCUUCUGCCGAGAGACUGUACUUCUCAGCCUCCCUUGUGGCUAGGUGUGCCAUGUGACUAAGUGCUCAUGAUUGAGAUGAUGUUCACCUUUGGAACCUAGCCACUAUACCGUGAGGAAGUGCAGACCACAUGGAGCCACCAUGUAUAGCUGCUCCAUUCAACAGCCCUUGCUAAGUUCUCAGAAAACAGUCUGUAUCAAUUGUUAAGAUAUGUAAAUAAACAAGCUACUGUAUAGCUCAAGUGUUUCACAAGGCAACGCUGGAAUAAGGAAGGCAGAAAUUUGAACCUGGAUGUCUCUGGAGCAGAGUUCCCUAUCACUUUGGGCUGUUUUCCCUCUUCUUGAACUUUAGGAGUGAGAAAUAAGUGUCUAUCUUAUGAAAACAACUGAAUUUGGGGAUCUCUAAAAUAGUGGUAAGAAAUAAGAUUAAAGCUUUUAUAGCCUGAUUCCUGCUGUCAGAGUUCUGAGAAACAGAACUUUGCCCAUAUCUUACUUUAUACCCCAAUGCCUUGUAAUUAUGAUUUAAUUAAUUAGCAAUUUUUAUUAGAAAUAUAUUCACUUAGAAAAUAUGCUUUGACUUCCCACCAUAUAGCAGAGUCUGGUUCUUGCUGCUGUGAAAAGGAUAAGGAAGAAGCUAUGCAUGAUCUUUGUCCUUGUAUUACUUUCCUAUUGCUGCUGUAACAAAAUGCCACAAACUUUGUGGCUUAAAACAGCACACAUUAAUUCUCUUAGGAAAAAAAUUAGAGUUCUGGAGGUUGGAGUUUAAAAAUCAAAGUGUUGGUUGGAUUGAGUUACUCUUGGAGGCUUGUGGAGUAAUCCAUUUCCUUGCCUUUUCCAGCUUCUAGGGACUGCUUGAAUUCCUUGACUCACAGUGCCUCACACCAACCUCUGGUUCUAUUGAAACUUUGUCCGGCCUCCUCCCAACCUGCCGUCUCAACCUCUAGUUUCCCUCUUAUAAGGACCUUUGUAAUUGUGAUUACAUCACACUCACCUGGAUAAUUCAGGAAAAUCUCAUCAUCUCAAGAUCCUUAACACAAUAAAAUCUGCAAAUUCCCUUUUACCAUGCAAGUUUGAGCUGAGCUUUUGCUUGCCAUCCACCACUGCUGUUUGCCGCCGUCCCAGAUCUGCCAUUGACUUCCACCCCUCCAGAUCCGGCAGUGUGUCCGCUGCACUCCUGAUCCAGCGAGGCACCCAUUGCUGCUCCUGAUCAGGCUAAAGGCUCGUCAUUGUUGCUGAACAGCUAAGUGUCCAGGGUCAUCCUAAUUGAGCUGAACACUGGUCGCUGGGUUCCAUGGUUCUCUUCCAUGACCUAUGGCUUCUAAUAGAGCUAUAACAC